CCAAACUUGGUCAUUUAGAGGAAGUAAAAGUCGUAACAAGGUCUCCGUUGGUGAACCAGCGGAGGGAUCAUUACCGAGUUUACAACUCCCAAACCCACUGUGAACCUAUACCUCGUACCGUUGCUUCGGCGGGUUCUCUUUCGCCCCGGAACCAGGUCUUCCCCCCUUCCCCAGGGGGGGCGGCCAGGACCGGAACCAGGCGCCCGCCGGGGGACCCAAACUCUUGUAUUUCGAACUUUUGGAACGUCUGAGUGGAAUCAUUUUACACAAUGAAUCAAAACUUUCAACAACGGAUCUCUUGGCUCUGGCAUCGAUGAAGAACGCAGC
This 327-nucleotide unclassified non-coding RNA is filed under the name uncultured fungus. Its description in RNAcentral is "partial contains small subunit ribosomal RNA, internal transcribed spacer 1, and 5.8S ribosomal RNA". The stretch from base 1 to 73 matches the Rfam family "Eukaryotic small subunit ribosomal RNA", at positions 1759 to 1831 of the family's 1831-position model. Lineage: Eukaryota; Fungi. The record is from RNAcentral.